Long non-coding RNA from Harpia harpyja (harpy eagle), 5158 nucleotides. RefSeq lists it as uncharacterized. The record is from RefSeq and is a predicted model, not a curated record. The transcript is spliced from 7 exons. NCBI's taxonomy places the organism in Eukaryota, Metazoa, Chordata, Aves, Accipitriformes, Accipitridae.
ACCUUCUGAGGUUGCCACUGGGUUAUCUUGCCCCUUGAGAAACUUCUCUUUCUCUCAUGGCACGGGUUCAUGGGAAAUGUCAUAUCUUCAGGGCUGCAGGCUGUAGUUAUCUGAAUUUUUUGGCAGAUGGAAGAGGGAGCUUCCAGUGUGGUAGAGGAGAGUAGAAGUCUGGAGAAGAGAUAAAACAAAAAGGAGGAUAACAAAAGACAGGUUCAGCAAGGGAGUUCAACAACAGAAGGCAGGAAAAAUGAGAAGGUUUCAGAUCUGAAGUCUGGAUGAAUGAGGAUAAAGCAGGGGAUAGGCAGACACCACUAAAGCGGUUGAGGACUGGCAGCUGACAGCAAGUAGGAAGAUAUAUGCAGUACUUGACCCUGCAACCUUCUUCAGGUUUUGAGGCCACUCUUCAGGGUCUGGGAGCCUUCUGUGAAUGCAUGUACCUUAGCUACACGCUGGAGGUCCUUGCAGUGGAGAGUCCACACAAGGAUUUAGGACCCAUUACUCCACUGAGUGUUGGAGUGCUGUGGAGCAGAGCUCCCGGUUUGGUUUCAUCCAAUAGGAAUCUAUUUUGUGCACACCAGCAUCACUUUGAGAAAACAACUAACAUGUGACAAGUGGGGACAAUCUGGGGAUUUGCUUCAAAGCUACCCUAUUGCUAUCAAACAAAUUACUAAGGUAGACAGAAUGGUCGUGACUGAAAAGUACGUGAAUAUGUCUGUUCAUGACCAUGAUCAAAAAUUUUUAUCAGAUGCUGUAUUAUUAUUAUUUUUUCCUUAAGGGUUCUCUUUAAUGGUAUAUGUUUAAAAAGAAAUAAUAUGAUUACUCCUUAUUGUUUCUGGCUUUCUGCAAAAUAGAGAAAACUAAACAGAACAUUUUCAGAACAGGACAGCUUUGCGAUAACACAAAGAACUCAACUCAUACUUUGCUUUUCUGCCAUGUUGUAAAUAUUUCAAACCCAAAUAAGUUUGUGUAGCAGCUGACAGAUAUAUUGAUUUUGCAAGUAUAAAUCUUUGAACAAUGUCGCAUGCAUUUAUUUUAAAAAGACCAAAUAAAUUGAAAAAUCUGCAGCCCUGAGGAAGGGAGGAAAUAGUAACUCUGUGAAACUUGAUUUCUGUAUUUGUACCACAAUAGUGAAUUAUUUGCAUAUCUAUUGCCUAAAGGUUAACUUCUGUUGAUUUCCUAAACCCUAAAGAAUAGAGUCUGAGCCUCCAACAUUGCAGAUGUCUGAAGCUCUGCAGAACUGACAUUGAUAAGCUCUACCAUCUUGAAAAUAAGCCCUUUUGUACCUUUCAUGUAAGUAAUCUUCUUUCAUGUUCUAGUUUUGUUAAGCUUAUCUUGUGGUUGAGUAUCUCAAACCAUGGCCACAUGGACAGUUAUGUCUAGAACUUUCUCUGCCCUUGCUCUGCACAUGCGUCUUGUCCACCAGGCCUGGUCUGGAAGCUGUUUUAGAUGAGGGUCAGGAGAUAGCAGCAGCGGUGGAGAGCCACUCUUGUGCCUCUCUAGCUCCCAGACUGGCCUGAAUCCCAGCAUCCCUGAGCACACACAGUUCAGUGUGUUCCGUUGGGCCCCUAUCCACGUAGCUGUGCCUUUUGUUAAUGAAACUCCAUCUUCAUGAAGGCUUCAGACAUCUUCUCCAGUAGAAGAUCUCCUUUUGCUUAUCAGGCAUCUUACUAUUAGUCAUGUGGUAGAAAUAAGCAGGGCAGACUUGGUUUAGUUCAAUCUGUGAUGCAAUAUUCAGGAAACCCCAGAAUGUAGCAAUGUCAUCCUCUGUCGAUAAUAAUCAGGAAGUCAGUCUUUACAUUCAGAAUUUGGAUUGCCGAUUGAUUGCACCUAUUUGCUAGCUCAUUCGCAGAAAGCAGAGAUGAGAAAGAUGCAUUAACAUCUUUUGCUCCCUCAGUGCAGAACCGUUCAAUUUGAAUAUUACCCUAGCCUUGUUUAUCAAAAUGCUAAGCCCAGCUUAUCAAAAUGUUCCUAAAAAAUAGCGCCAGUCUGGAGGGUUCACUGUUAACAAGUAUUCUUUGUUGCAAUAUUUCACUACAUUUUUACAGGUGAAUCUAUAGCUGGUCACACUUUUUUUUCCUAGUAAAGAUAGGUUAUAAAGUCAUAUCUGGCAAAAGUGGUUUUCCUAUAACUUCUUCCUUUUGUGGUAUCAUGGUUAUCUGCACCUUUUUCUGAGUACUCAGAGCUGAACAAGACUAACCAGUAAACUAAUGGUAGCACAGGUCUGGACUGCAGAGCAGUGCCCUCAUAAUAAGAAAUUGAUAGGAGCAGAAGUUUUGUUAGGAAGCUCCCUGUUACAGCAAGAUGAGAUGUGUUUUGCGGAACCUUUGAACCGUAGCUAUGUUGAUCCCACAAGUUGUCACCAACAUGGCCGUGCUGUGAAAAAGUGCAAUCCCUGGUUGAUAGAGCUGUGCUGGUAGAAAUCUUUAGUGUAAUUCCGCUGCAUCAGCAAAACUUCAAGAAGGAUGUAUACAGAUAUUCAUGUGUCUGUGUCACUCUGUCCUGGUUUCGGCUGGGAUAGAGUUAAUUUUCUUCUUAGUAGCUGGUACAGUGUGUUUUGGAUUUAGUGUGAGAAUAAUGUUGAUAACACACUGAUGUUUUAGUUGUUGUUAAGUGGUGCUUAUCCCAACUUAAGGAUUGUUUGGUUUCCCAUACUCUGCCAGCAAGCAGGUGCACAAGAAGCUGGGAGGGGAGCAUGGCCAAGACAGCUGACCCGAACUAGCCAAAGGGACAUUCCAUACCAUAGAACGUCAUGCUCAGUAUACAAACCGGGGGGAGUUGGCCGGGAGGGGUGGAUCGCUGUUCGGGCAUCAGUCAGUGGGUGGUGAGCAAUUGCAUCAUGCAUCACUUGUAUUUUCUUGGGACUUAUUUCUCUCUUUUUUUGUUAUAUUCCUUUUAAUUACAAUUACUAUUUACUGUUAUUAUUUUUAUUAUAAUAUUUUAUUAUUGUUGUUGUUAUUAUUUUUUAUUUUUACUUUAGUUAUUAAACUGUUCUUAUCUCAACCCAUGAGUUUUACUUCUUUUUUUCUAUUCUCCUCCCCAUCCCACUGGGAGCGGGGAGGAGUGAGCGAGCAGCUGCGUGGUGCUUGGUUGCUGGCUGGGAUUAAACCACGACACACUCCACCACUUUAUUAAACCACAGCCUCGGUCCUUCAGCUUCUCUCAGCAGUCCUUUAAGCAGAAACAAGGGUGCCAACAAGAAUUCUUGUACCUAAGAAAGGGCCAAAGAUGGAGGGCUAUUGAACUGCAGUGAGUGAGGCAGUGAGUGGCAGAAAGAAGCUCCUUAAUGGUGCAGUUUGAUGCCGCUCUUCCUCCAUGAGUCAAUGCCUUUGUUCAUGCUUCAGUGAUUCUCUCUCCCACUAGGCUUAAAUUCUGCAUCUCAGCAGCCAAGAGGUAUGGGUAAUAAAUCCUGAAUGCAGACAAGGGGUGCUUAAGAUCAGGAAUCUCAGCCCACAGGAUGAACCGAGAAGCCGAAGAUGGAGAUGAUGGCUGAAGUCUGCCAAGAUUCAGAGGAGCGCAGCAACGUGCCAGAUCCUCACUGGAUCUGAGCAUAUCAGCCUGAUACAAGUCAGAGGGACUGCCAUAUACAAUUAUCAAGACAAUUGUGGUCUUUCUUCAAAGUUAGGAGAUGGACCAGAUGAAUGAUUUGUAGUAGGUGGCUGAGAUCCCUGGAACCAUGACAGAGCAUACAAGUUAUUACAAGCUUCUUUGGCCAAUGGAUGAUACAGUGAAUUACCUGAAUCUAUGACACGUCUGUGAAUACCAUUUCCCUAGAUUGUAACACCAGCCCAAUUCUUUGGCUCUGCUGGAAGCUAACCUAAGAGAUGACGGGGGAAUGAUGGGUGAGCCAGCCAGCCUGCAGGCUGAGUCACUCCAGGAAGGCAGACCGUCAUCUGGCAAUUAGGAUGGAGAAGAAGAAAGCGUGCCAGCAAAACAGGCUACUUGACAGCAGCCUCGGGAAUGCCUUGUGGAACUACAGCACUCAGCUCAUCCUCCAGCAUUACGGCCUCGCAGAGAGGGAUGGACGGCUGCAUCUGGGAGUGCUUCUAAGUAAUAGACUGGUUCACUUUGAACCCUGGUGUAAAACAAGGCUCUGCUCUUGUGUAGGCUAUCGGUUGGGUGGAGCAGCCGCAAGCCUUAAGAACAGCUAAGACUCAUCAACAAGAAAAAAGGAUAGAAAAAUGAAAACAAGCUGGAAAGAGAUGAAUUUCACCACGAUAUACCUCAUUUUCCUCAGCAGACUGAGAACUGCAGAAUUAGCACAGAUUUCUGCUACUUGAGCUAAUGGAGUGCCACUACCAGUCAUGGGUUGUCAUCCUCUGAGUAAAGCACUCCCAGAAGAGGCUCACUGAUGGGCACUGAUGAGAAACAUGAAGUGAGGAUUUGCUUCUCAGCUGGGGUGACAAGUAGUCAGGUAGAUGUAUACUCCAGAUGUAAGCUAACCUGCUGUGUCUCCUUCGGCUGUUCACCAUCGUUGUCCUUUGCCUUUCCCACUUCAUCCCAGACUCAGUCUCCUCCUACAGCAAGUCACUGUGGUUCCCAGCUCCUGAUCUCCCAAUCUGAUUACCUCUUUGCUCAUCCCCAGUAUGACAUUCUUUGCUCCCAUUCUCCUUGGCUGGACCACCCUAACUCCCCAACCACUCCUCCUGACCGCAUUCCUCAUCUAGCACAGCUCUGGGAUCCAGUAUAUCUGUCUGAGAUUUUCUCCAUGGUGCAUUUGAACAAGUCCAACCUCUGUACUCUUGAGUUGAACAACAGGCCUGCUGGGACCAGAGGAAGGCAGACCCCUGCUUUCCAUUUGGGUGCCUAGACCUCUUACGGCUCAUGUUAGCAGAUGCCUAUCCAUAGCAAAUGGAACCUUAGGAAAGUUUGCUGUCAAAAUCAAAGUCAUCUUUAUCAAAAGUGCACCAUGACUUUUCAUACACUUAUUUCAUGAGUGUCCUAGUUUCAGCUGGGGUAGAGUUAAUCAUCUUCCUAGUAGCUGGUAUAGUGCUAUGUUUUUGAGUUUGGUAUGAGAAGAAUGUUGAUAACACCGAUGUUUUCAGUUGUUGCUAAGUAAUAUUUAGUCUGAAGUCAAGGAUUUUUCAGCCUCUCAUGCCCAGCCAGCAAGAAGGCUGGAGGGGCACAAGAAGUUGGGAGGGGACACAGCCAGGACAGCUGA